Neolamprologus brichardi is the source of this 504-nucleotide non-coding RNA. Lineage: Eukaryota; Metazoa; Chordata; Actinopteri; Cichliformes; Cichlidae. The record is from RefSeq and is a predicted model, not a curated record.
GGAGUGACGUCACUUUCCUAAACCGGGCAGCGGCCGUUGAGCUGAGUCCCAAACCAGAGACGAGCAGGAGUCGACCAACAGCUCAACUUUUAAUGAAUGCGGGCCGAGGAGAGCCGCCGUGAAGGGUCGCGCCGGUUUCUCCUUCCGUAUGCUCCCUCCUGGUCGACAUAGCUCCACAAAGAUUCGCUGUGUUCACACUUGUUCAGCGGCUAAUCUGGUUUUAGCUAUUUUUAAAAAGCGCUUGUCUCUUCUUUUAUGUGUCUCGCGCUCCCCGCGACUCUCGGCACAAGGACUGGGUCUCGACUGAGCGAUUGAGUGAGCGACUGCAUGGGUCGGACUGAACAUGAAGAGCCUCAAAGCCAAGUUUAGAAAAACUGAUACAAAUGAGUGGAACAAAAAUGAUGAACGCUUGCUUGCUGCAGUGGAGCAUGGCGAGGUUGAGAAAGUCUCAUCCCUUCUUGCCAAGAAAGGUGCCAAUCCUGUAAAGCUGGACAGUGAAGGCAA